UUAGUAAGCAACCGAGAUGCCCAACUCAACCAGAGAUGGUAGAGAUGAGAAGUCAAAACUCGCAACUCUCUGACUAGAUUGAAUAUGCUAUGGCAUUUACUAGUCACAGUUGACCAAAAUUCUUAUAUUUCGUAUGAUCAUGUAGGAAACUUGAGAACUUCUCAGGGGGGAAAGCUAACUUCAGCAAGUGAGCAGCAGCCCACGAAGACUAAAAAGGGCAAGUACGGCAACUAAGACAGGUCAAAACAAUAGAUCCAGAUAUUCUUGCAUCCAGACCCACUUGGCAGGAAAUGAUAACACAAGGUAAGAAUAUAAAAGAUAACCAAAAAAAAUCCCCGGUAAAUAAUAUCGUAAACAGAACCAGCCAUAAAUACGAUCAAAACAUGGUAAC
Molecule: long non-coding RNA, 391 nt
Organism: Populus euphratica (Euphrates poplar)
Lineage: Eukaryota; Viridiplantae; Streptophyta; Magnoliopsida; Malpighiales; Salicaceae
Exons: 2
Source: RefSeq, a predicted model, not a curated record